Molecule: long non-coding RNA, 119 nt
Organism: Solea senegalensis (Senegalese sole)
Lineage: Eukaryota; Metazoa; Chordata; Actinopteri; Pleuronectiformes; Soleidae
Exons: 3
Source: RefSeq, a predicted model, not a curated record
GGCUGAGAGAGAAGCAGCAUCAAACUCCAGCUUCUGUCUGCAGAUCUGAGGAUUCUGUAAAGAGACAACAUUACCCUCACAAGACUGACAGAUUCAGAGCUCCUCCUCUUCUCUCCUCC